GGAUUCCCUCAGUAAUGGCGAAUGAAGCGGGAACAGCUCAAAUUUGAAAUCUGCGUCGCUUGCGACGCCGAAUUGUAGUUUCUAGAAGCAUUUUCUAGGCGGAUCCAGCGCCGUCCAAGUUGCUUGGAACAGCACGUCAUAGAGGGUGACAACCCCGUCUGUGGCGGAGCUGGCCGCUCACGAUGUGCUUUCAAAGAGUCGGGUUGUUUGGGAAUGCAGCCCAAAAUGGGUGGUAAACUCCAUCUAAAGCUAAAUAUUGGCACGAGACCGAUAGCGAACAAGUACCGUGAGGGAAAGAUGAAAAGCACUUUGAAAAGAGAGUUAAAAAGUACGUGAAACCGUUAAAAGGGAAACGGAUGUGGUUAGCAAUGCGUUUUGCGAGAUUCAGCCGAGUGUCGUUCCGGGCGGGCGGUUUGCGGAUCUGAAUGGACCGUGGCCGUUCGGUUCGGAACUUCAAUCGUCGCACUUCUCGCUGGCGCGCGCCAACGUCGGUUGGUCUUGGGUCUUAAAGGCACGAGUAAGGUAGGUUCUUUCUCUCGGGAUGGAGCUGUUAUAGACUUGUGUUGUAUGGCCCGAGGGCGACCGAGGAGCCGCGGCGCAUGCCUCCUUCGGGUUGGCUAGGGUCCCGCCUUUCCGGUCGGUAGUCAACUGUGGUGGACUGCGUGCAGUGCGCUACGACCGCUGCCGGUCGAUUAGGUGGUGAUUUCGUACCAUGCGCCCAGGACGUUGGCGGUCAAAUGGCCCCAUUCGACCCGUCUUGAAACACGGACCAAGGAGUCUAACAUGUGCGCGAGUCUUUGAGUGAUUGAAACUCGCAGGCGUAAUGAAAGUGAAGGCGGCCUAGCCGUCGAGGUGAGAGGCUGUCCCUCGGGGCAGCUGCAUCAUCGACCGACCUAUUCUGUUCUCAGGAAGGUUUGAGUAAGAGCGCAUCUG
Molecule: ribosomal RNA, 933 nt
Filed under: Metridium senile fimbriatum
Lineage: Eukaryota; Metazoa; Cnidaria; Anthozoa; Actiniaria; Metridiidae
Description: eukaryotic LSU rRNA
Rfam family: Eukaryotic large subunit ribosomal RNA
Source: RNAcentral